Long non-coding RNA from Pseudophryne corroboree (corroboree frog), 1464 nucleotides. RefSeq lists it as uncharacterized. The record is from RefSeq and is a predicted model, not a curated record. The transcript has 3 exons. NCBI's taxonomy places the organism in Eukaryota, Metazoa, Chordata, Amphibia, Anura, Myobatrachidae.
CAGGGGCAGCAGUGCCUCUUUGACAGGGGCGUGCUGUCAGCUCAUAUGAAAGCACGCCCCUGUCCCUGAUCUUAUGUGAUUGGGCACUGAGCAGUGGGGCUGUGAUCAUGAUGUGAGCUGCAGAGCAGUGCAGGGGAACAGCCAGCCCUCCUCCUCGGCUCCAGACUCCGGACUUCAAGACAGCAGCACAGCUGCCACUAGUACACAGGUGUAGCAGAUUAUCCACACUUACAACACCCUGCUUAGGAAUUGCCAAAAGCUAAAGAAUAAACAAGACAGGCACAAGGUCGACACUGGUAAAGGUCAACAGGGGUUAGUGUGGAUAGUUUUUCCAUCUGGGACCACCAUUUGUAGAAACGCGUCUUCUCAUGGGAUUGCUUUGCUCGCCGCCCUUUGGGCUCAGGGUCUCGCUUCUUUCUCUACAAGGUUGCUAAAGAUUUAUGAUUUGUGACAUGGAUAGUCAAGGAAGGCAAAAGUCCAUCAACAUGAAAGAACCCCAAAACAUGUGUCGACCAUAUGAACCUGUGGAUCUUUUGAACCUGUCGACCUUUUCCAGUGUCAACCUUUGGAAUUUGGAAUUUUGGAAAGUCAUGCCAAAAUAUUUCUGUCUACCCAGGAUUUUCCCAUCUGAACACGAUAUAUUUUCCUGCUAAAUUGUGUGAAUGACAUAUUAUAGAAGCCCAUAUUAAUGCAAAGGUUGCAGCGACACAACUUUCCUUUUUAUAUUCCAUUAUAAGGUUCUUGUGUAUGACACGUAUAAAUUUCUCCCAAUAUGUCAUAUAUCUAUGUCAUAAGCAUAAGUUAAAAGAACAAAAGGAAUGGGUUUGUUGAUGGUGCAUUAAAGUAUGUCUAAUAUUUUUAUUUAAAUUGUAAAUACUGCAUAGACAUUACAGACUGAUAUUAAGAUAUAUUCAUGAAUUAGCAAUCAAAUAAUAAUCAAUAUUACCUGAUUCAGCCUUAGCAUAGGGAAGCACUGAAUCCAGAAUAUCGAUUUACAGUACCAGGCUAAACCUGCACUGGGGAUUUUCAAGAUUAAAUCUCAUGCAAUUAAUCUUUUAACUAAAAGCAAAUUUACUAUGGGGCAGAUCUAAUAACAAAUGAUAUUCUAGUUAUCACUUGUUACUAAUCUUAAUUGAAGCACCAACUAAUCAGCUCCUGUCAUUUUUCAAAUGCAUGACAGUUACUGUAGGAGCUGAUUGUUUGGAGUACCAUUUAAGAUUAGUAAUGAGUGAUAACUACACUAUCACUUGUUAAAUCCGCCCCUGUGUUCUGUAGUUCAAAUGAGCCUUUCUUGCCUAGAAUUGCCUAAUAUAUUUCGGGAUGAGCAAUUAAUUGCCUGAAGCACCUGUUACUGGGAACAGAAAUCCAGUGUUAACAGUUAGAUUUUAUCUAAUAAAACUAUAUUAAUAAAAAUCAUUUACAUAGCCUAACUUUUAGUACAUCAAUUGUAUUUCUUACCUUGGG